UACAGAGGGUGCGAGCGUUAAUCGGAAUUACUGGGCGUAAAGCGUGCGUAGACGGCUAUCUAAGUCGGGUGUGAAAGCCCCGGGCUCAACCUGGGAAUUGCAUUCGAGACUGAAUAGCUAGGGUACGGUAGAGGGAAGUGGAAUUUCCGGUGUAGCGGUGAAAUGCGUAGAUAUCGGAAGGAACAUCAGUGGCGAAAGCGACAUCCUGGACCGGUAUUGACGCUGAGGCGCGAAAGCCAGGGGAGCAAACGGG
This 253-nucleotide ribosomal RNA is filed under the name uncultured bacterium. RNAcentral describes it as "partial 16S ribosomal RNA". It matches the Rfam family "Bacterial small subunit ribosomal RNA", at positions 524 to 776 of the family's 1533-position model. The record is from RNAcentral.